Molecule: microRNA precursor, 117 nt
Filed under: Hordeum vulgare
Lineage: Eukaryota; Viridiplantae; Streptophyta; Magnoliopsida; Poales; Poaceae
Description: microRNA MIR1122
Rfam family: MIR1120/MIR1122 microRNA precursor family
Source: RNAcentral
UAUAUACUCCCUUCGUCCCAAAAUAAGUGACUCAAAAAAUGACUCAACUUUGUACUGAAGUUAGUGCAAAGUUGAGUCAUUUUUAAGUCAUUUAUUUUGAGACGGAGGGAGUAUAUA